Felis catus (domestic cat) is the source of this 85-nucleotide non-coding RNA. NCBI's taxonomy places the organism in Eukaryota, Metazoa, Chordata, Mammalia, Carnivora, Felidae. The record is from Rfam.
GCCUGGGUGGCUUGGUCGGUUAAGCAUCUGACUUUGGCUUAGGUCACAAUCUCACAGUUUGUGGGUUUGAGCCCCGCGCCGGGCU